RNAcentral lists this ribosomal RNA (450 nucleotides) under uncultured bacterium. RNAcentral describes it as "partial 16S ribosomal RNA". It matches the Rfam family "Bacterial small subunit ribosomal RNA", at positions 338 to 795 of the family's 1533-position model. The record is from RNAcentral.
CCUACGGGUGGCAGCAGUAGGGAAUAUUGGACAAUGGAGGAAACUCUGAUCCAGCCAUCCCGCGUGAAGGAUUAAGGUCCUAUGGAUUGUAAACUUCUUUUCUUUGGGAAUAAAAUCUCCGAUUCCUCGGAGCUUGAAGGUACCAGGGGAAUAAGCACCGGCUAACUCCGUGCCAGCAGCCGCGGUAAUACGGAGGGUGCAAGCGUUAUCCGGAUUCACUGGGUUUAAGGGGGUUUUAUAUGGCAUUGGAGAAAGCCUACAGCUUAACUGUAGAAUUGCCAUUGAUACUGCUUAACUUGAAUCAAGUCGAAGUGUAUGGAAUAGAUCAUGUAGCGGUGAAAUGCUUAGAUAUGAUUUAGAACACCAAUUGCGAAGGCAGUUCACUAGGCUUGUAUUGACACUGAGGCACGAAAGCGUGGGGAUCAAACAGGAUUAGAUACCCUUGUAGUC